RNAcentral lists this ribosomal RNA (1381 nucleotides) under Septofusispora thailandica. Its description in RNAcentral is "fungal sp. CGR-2022d partial small subunit ribosomal RNA". It matches the Rfam family "Eukaryotic small subunit ribosomal RNA", at positions 97 to 1096 of the family's 1831-position model. The record is from RNAcentral. Lineage: Eukaryota; Fungi; Ascomycota; Dothideomycetes; Pleosporales; Didymosphaeriaceae.
CUCAUUAAAUCAGUUAUCGUUUAUUUGAUAGUACCUUACUACUUGGAUAACCGUGGUAAUUCUAGAGCUAAUACAUGCUAAAAACCCCGACUUCGGGAGGGGUGUAUUUAUUAGAUAAAAAACCAAUGCCCUUCGGGGCUCCUUGGUGAUUCAUGAUAACUUCUCAGAUCGCAUAGCCUUGUGCUGGCGACGGUUCAUUCAAAUUUCUGCCCUAUCAACUUUCGAUGGUAAGGUAUUGGCUUACCAUGGUUUCAACGGGUAACGGGGAAUUAGGGUUCGAUUCCGGAGAGGGAGCCUGAGAAACGGCUACCACAUCCAAGGAAGGCAGCAGGCGCGCAAAUUACCCAAUUCCGAUGCGGAGAGGUAGUGACAAUAAAUACUGAUACAGGGCUCUUUUGGGUCUUGUAAUUGGAAUGAGUACAAUUUAAACCUCUUAACGAGGAACAAUUGGAGGGCAAGUCUGGUGGACAUUCAGCUCCCAUUCUGCUGACGCCAGAGAUAGUCGGGCAUCUCGUCGAGAUGUUACGCCGGCUAGUCGAUGUACCUACUGAAUUGAUGGGGAGGUACCGGCAAGACAACCUGGAUCGGGGAAGGCUAAGGCGCCGAAUGAGGUGCUAUGCUAAUCCCGAGCAGAGCUGCCGCAGAGCGAUCUGCGGACGGCCUGUGUAGAGCACGCUAAGGUGUCGGCCAGCUCACGUAGUUGGCUUAAGGGACGUGCCGUUCCCAUCUGAAAGGAUGGCUGUCAGCAAUAGCGCCCAUCACGCGAAGGCUGGCAGGUUCAAACAUGAUGUUAGCGGGGAUCACGCAUCACAGAAGGGCAGGUCUCGCUGGUCUCCAUGUUUGAAGCUCACAAAAGGCCAGCAGCCGCGGUAAUUCCAGCUCCAAUAGCGUAUAUUAAAGUUGUUGCAGUUAAAAAGCUCGUAGUUGAACCUUUGGCCUGGCUGGCAGGUCCGCCUCACCGCGUGCACUUGACCGGCCGGGCCUUUUCUUCUGGAGAACCGCAUGCCCUUCACUGGGUGUGUUGGGGACCAGGACUUUUACUUUGAAAAAAUUAGAGUGUUCAAAGCAGGCCUUUGCUCGAAUACGUUAGCAUGGAAUAAUAGAAUAGGACGUGCGGUCCUAUUUUGUUGGUUUCUAGGACCGCCGUAAUGAUUAAUAGGGACAGUCGGGGGCAUCAGUAUUCAAUUGUCAGAGGUGAAAUUCUUGGAUUUAUUGAAGACUAACUACUGCGAAAGCAUUUGCCAAGGAUGUUUUCAUUAAUCAGUGAACGAAAGUUAGGGGAUCGAAGACGAUCAGAUACCGUCGUAGUCUUAACCAUAAACUAUGCCGACUAGGGAUCGGGCGGUGUUUCUAUUGUGACCCGCUCGGCACCUUACGAGAA